AUUGAACGCUGGCGGCAUGCCUUACACAUGCAAGUCGAACGGCAGCACGGGAGCAAUCCUGGUGGCGAGUGGCGAACGGGUGAGUAAUACAUCGGAACGUGCCCAGUAGUGGGGGAUAACCCGGCGAAAGCCGGACUAAUACCGCAUACGACCUACGGGUGAAAGCAGGGGAUCGCAAGACCUUGCGCUAUUGGAGCGGCCGAUGUCAGAUUAGCUUGUUGGNGGGGUAAAAGCCUACCAAGGCAACGAUCUGUAGCUGGUCUGAGAGGACGACCAGCCACACUGGGACUGAGACACGGCCCAGACUCCUACGGGAGGCAGCAGUGGGGAAUUUUGGACAAUGGGCGCAAGCCUGAUCCAGCCAUGCCGCGUGCGGGAAGAAGGCC
This 386-nucleotide ribosomal RNA is filed under the name uncultured bacterium. Its description in RNAcentral is "bacterial SSU rRNA". It matches the Rfam family "Bacterial small subunit ribosomal RNA", at positions 29 to 416 of the family's 1533-position model. The record is from RNAcentral.